AUUGAACGCUGGCGGCAGGCCUAACACAUGCAAGUCGAACGAGUGGCGGACGGGUGAGUAAUGUCUGGGAAACUGCCUGAUGGAGGGGGAUAACUACUGGAAACGGUAGCUAAUACCGCAUACCAUCGGAUGUGCCCAGAUGGGAUUAGCUAGUGGGUGGGGUAAAGGCUCACCUAGGCGACGAUCCCUAGCUGGUCUGCGAGGAUGACCGGCCAGACUGGAACUGAGACACGGUCCAGACUCCUACGGUAGGAAGCAGUGGGGAAUAUUGCACAAUGGGCGCGAGCCUGAUGCAGCCAUGCCGCGUGGAUGAAGAAGGCCUUCGGGUUGUAAAGUACUUUCAGCGGGGAUGCGUUACCCGCAGAAGAAGCACCGGCUAACUCCGUGCCAGCCGCCGCGGUAAUUC
RNAcentral lists this ribosomal RNA (406 nucleotides) under uncultured bacterium. RNAcentral describes it as "partial 16S ribosomal RNA". It matches the Rfam family "Bacterial small subunit ribosomal RNA", at positions 30 to 526 of the family's 1533-position model. The record is from RNAcentral.